Molecule: long non-coding RNA, 743 nt
Organism: Hyaena hyaena (striped hyena)
Lineage: Eukaryota; Metazoa; Chordata; Mammalia; Carnivora; Hyaenidae
Exons: 3
Source: RefSeq, a predicted model, not a curated record
UGUGCGUACCUGUGCACUCUCUCUCUAAAAUAAACGAAUAGAUGGCAUCUCAGUAUUUAAAGCUAUGUCACUAAUUUUCCUUAAAUGGAAAUUAACGUGUCAUAACAAAGAGCAUUUUUCAAUCGGCUUAUUUUUCUAGUGCGGGUAUUUUAUCUGGAUUACAGAGCGCCUGGAACAGGAUGGGUUGGAUGCACACGUCUUUUCCUCACACCUGGGCUCGUUAAGGAAUCAGCAGCCGGGCUGGGGGACCUGCCCACGCAGUGAGAGGAGAGAGGGCGCCUCUGACUCGGGGUGAAAGAAGGCAAAAGGAACCAGGAGAAGAUGGUAAAGAAAAAUGGGCAGCAGAGGACGAGGUCUUGGCUGAUGGUCUAGUGGAAGAAGAUGGACAGAAGGAUCUGUUCACAGCACUGCUGGCAGGUGUACAAACAUUCAAAUCAAUGGCCCCAAGGGACUUUAGAAUCACGAAAACUAAAGAUUUCUGGAUUAAAAUGAAGGACAGCAACUUCACAAAUCUUGAGUAAUUAAAAAUGCUUCCUGCAGGUAUAAAGGAGUAAAUGGCUGUGGUGAGGGAUAGACAAAUGAGAGAGUUAAUGGACAGUUCUGGGCGGCAGGGAAGCUGGUUCCCUCCCUACAUUCAGGUGGGAUUUUAUUUAAAAAUGAGCCUGAUGUAAGUUAUUGCUUAGUUAUAAUAACUAAAUAUUCCAAACUCCAUAACCAUGUUUUAGAUCAGGAAGCAACCAUCC